CAUGGCUCUGCAGCCAGAGGGACCUGCGUUCAAAUCCCAGCCCUGCCACUUAUCAGCAAGUGACUCAUCCUAAAGCUUCAGUUUCCGCAGCUGGAAAGUGCAGGUGCCCCAAGGGAGUGGAGAGGAGUGGGCCCUUCCCUAGGUUCCUAGCUCACAGAGGGAAGCAUUCCGGACACAGCCCUGCUCUGGACUCAGCCCUGGGAUUGCCCACCCAACACCAAUCCUAUCAAUAAUCUCAACAGCCCCCAUCUUAGCAGCUACUCAUCCCUUAGAGACAUUGACCUUGCCCUGUCUGAGAGGUAAAUAAGUCCCGAGGAAUCUAAACCGACCUGGGUAAUCACUGGGGCCUCAUGGUUUCGGGUGGCCGGCCCUGAGUGGGAGGGCUGCUGGGUGGUGGUGAUAGGGCUAAUUAAAAAGAGACACACAGAAGAGGCAGCAUUUUCUCUGCUGGUUGUUGACAUGUCCUGGCUCGAGGUCUGGAUCACAGCUGCCGCCUGGGAGCCAGGAGGAGCCACCUGGAAGACCAACCCAACCAACACAGAGAGGGUGGCCGGCCGGGAGCGGGAGAGAAACCAGGUGCUGAUGACGCUAUCAAGCCAGUAAAGAGCCACCUUCCCCCUGGACUGAUUGUCUUGUGAGCUCAUAAAUGUCCUCAUUGUUGAA
Myotis myotis is the source of this 663-nucleotide long non-coding RNA. RefSeq lists it as uncharacterized. The transcript is spliced from 2 exons. The record is from RefSeq and is a predicted model, not a curated record. Lineage: Eukaryota; Metazoa; Chordata; Mammalia; Chiroptera; Vespertilionidae.